UAUUAUUUCAGGUCGAAAUAAAUGAUUAUGACAAGCCGAGUGUUUUUCUGGUGACCCGUGAAACAUUUCGACAACACUCAGGAUGGGGCUCAGUGAUGAGGAGCCUCAGCACGGCAGUAUGGAGGGCUCUGCUGCUUCAGUAGACGGUUGGAUGAAGAAUCAGUCAAAAAGGGCUAAGCAGCAUAGAGGAACUGCCAAAGGAAAGUUCACACGUAAGCUAGAAAAGUUUAAUGAGCAUGUGAAAGAUAAAGUUGCCUUAGAAAUAUUGGAAGAUAACUAUAAUUUGAUUGUUAAAGCUUUUGAGAAAGUUGAACUGGCAAAUGAAAGUUAUUGCAAUUUACUUGAUGAAGCUAAUGAUACUCAAGAGUUAAUUAAUGCAGAUAUGUACAUUAAGGAACUUGACGAUAAGAAAUGUGCUGCCCAUGUUUUAUUUGUAAAGAUGAAAGAUGAGAUGCAAAUGAAAGGGGCUAUCAAAGUGAAGCCUAUUGACAUACCAAAGUUUGAUGGAAAAAUCAGAGACUAUAGUAAUUUUAAAAGAGAUUAUGUCAGACUUAUGCAACCCAACUAUGGAAAAGACCCAUUUGCUCUUAGACAGUGUCUCUCAGGAGAAGCUUUAGUCUUUUCCUUGUGGGGCUGAGCAUGAUUUUGAUAAAAUGUUUGAACGGUUAGAUGACAUGUACAGUGACAGUAGACGAGUAAUUGAUGUAGUAAUUGAAGAUUUGAGAGAAAUUGAACCUGUAAUCGAGGGUGAUAGUUUAGGUUUCAUCCGAAUGGUAGACAAAAUUGAGCAACAUUUUCUUUAUCUGGAUCAGUUGGGUCUAUCUUCAGAACUUAAUACUGCCAAUAUGACAAGUCAGAUAGAGAAACUCUUGCCUCCAACUCAGAAGCGGGAAUGGAUCAAAAUAGCAGAAAAUGUUAAACCUGUUGAAUUAUUUAAGAAACUACUGGAAUACCUUUUGGGUGAAAAGAAAUGAAAGACCUCCUUCAAUAAUAUACAAUCUGCUAUUCGAGAUGCUCAUACACAAUUCCAGCAUCAAAAAACGACAAGAAAAAUAGAAUGUCUAAAUAUAAAACAGUUCCAAAUAUAAUAUCUGAGUCUCUGUUUACAAAUCAAGAUUCCCAUGCGUUACCAAAAUUUCCCAUCAUGCUCAGCACAAAAAAAAGAACUGGGACAUGCGUGAUAAAACAACAAAAAAGAAUAGAAUAUUAUUAGUUAAUACAAACUAAUGAUACAGAAAUGAAGCAGGGAUCAAAUGAAAAUUCACUGGAGGAUGAUGGAGCCAAAUGUGGAUUCAAGGGAGAGAGAGAGGUCAUAUUUGAAUGUAGGAGUUAUGUUCUUUGAAUGCACUUGAGGAUAAAGGGGACAAAUGUUAAUAAAAGAGAGGAGGAGACGAGGAAGUGGUCAUGGACGAUAAUUGGAAAAAGAAUGCAGGAGAGGAUAAUCUCAAAUUUGAAUACAGGAAAGGCGGAAGAGGGUCAAAGAUGAAUAGAGGAGAGGAGGAGAAGAAGGGGUUAGACAUGAAUGCAGGAGAUGUGGAAGAAGUCAAAUAUGUAUGUGGGAGAGUAGGUAUGAAUCAAAUCUGAAUGCAGAUGAAGGAGGAAGGAAGAAAGGACUGAGGAGGAAGAGGAGGAGGUGAAAGUCAAGGGAAAAGUGGAGGAAGUGACAAAGAUAAAGUGAAAAGGGUUUAAGACAAAUCAGGUAUAAGGAGAAGGGACUAAAGGUUUAGAAGUUUACUGGUCGCCAGUAAACCUCUAAACCUCAGUACAAGCACAAAAGCACAUGUCAUGACAUGGCCCAGUACCCUACUCUAACAAUGUGGAGGCGCAAUGAGACCAGGGUAUAGCUAAAGUAAACAAGACGACAAUCGCAGGUGUCCCAAGGACUUUAGUAUGUUCAUCAGAAGGACAGUAGUAUCUGGCAACAGCAGAAACUCUCUCGGGCAGCUCGUUCGAGUGGAUGAGUGAGCCUAAAUAUCGGGCCAAAUAGGAAGAUAUAUCUAAAACCUGUUACCUUCUUCAUAAAGGAUGCAGAAUGCAAUCUGUACACCACUGUUGGGCUAUGCUGAUUUACUGAUAAAUGUUUUUUUUACUUUAAUAUCUUAUUGAGAGCAUGUCUGAAACUAUGAGAAAGUUACGGAUAGCACAAUAGAAAUUUCCUUGAUUAGCAUUGGUAAGUUGAAGAAUAGUAAAAUAAUAACCUAAAUAAAAUUGUCUGUUAAUGAUGUAAUUCUAAUAAGUGGAUACCGCACAUGACUUUGGGAAAUAGGGGGCACUGAGGGAGAAACUUUUGCGGAAGAGGGACAAGAAAGGGUAAACCUUAGUCCAAAAGACCGGACCCUGGUGGUUCGUUUUCUUUCAGUAAGCAAGGAGACCUACUCCUUACGUUGGAACAUGUCUAAGAAUGGAAACCAGAAACUGAGACAGGAAGGGGCAUUGUCAAUGACCCAGAUACCGCUUUUUUAUAUAAACUAUUUACGUAGGUAAGAGGGAUUAUGUGCCAUCUCGAUUGUAGAAUAUUAGCCAAUCAAAGCAAGUAUAACCAUCUUCUGUAGUAUUUUUAAUUCUCAUUCAUAACAAAGCAAACCAAAUAAAAAAUAUUAGUGUGAUUACUAUCAUGCAAUGUUUUGGCUUAAGAUCAGCUGUCUCUUGUGGAUUUUAAACGUCUGGAGAGUGAUCCGGUUUUACAAAGCAUAUUCACUACAAUUACUCUGUGUAAAGGAGCAUAUAUUAUUCUGGGUAGUUUAUCCAAUUAAUAAGCAUACAUGUACAUACACAUGUAUUUAUCUAAAGAAAAGAGAGAAAAGAGAAUAAAAGAAAAUGGAAUAAAUGCUAUUAGCAUGCCCUACAUGUCCAAUGUCUCUCCUUAUUGCUUCGAAAAGGUAAUUACUAGGUUGGCCAGCAACAUUUCAACAUCCGGAUGUCCCUCCUAACUUCAAAAUUGCAUUCCUGUUCAGUAUAUCAGCACUUGUCCAGUAUUACAACCAUCAUGUAAUGUGGUUUAUAGGGAGUAAUCCUUUUUUGUAAGGAAGAAAAGAAAAGAAGAAAAAAAAAAAAAAAAACGAAGCAGGAUGUCAAUGAUUCAAAAAAAAAAAGUAAAGCAUCAGAAUCAUGGAACCCCGACUUGAAGCCAAUGAAGCCCAGUGUGACCAGCAAAAAGCAAGGAGUUACAUGAUCCGGUUUUACGUCACGACCUCGCUCGCAAGGAAGGGGAAGGUUUUAUCUAUCGAAGGACUUUGGAUUUGGGAGUGAAAGACUAUACCUCAAGUGGAUGAUGCCCUUCCUAACCACGGACCCUGGCUGGUUUCGAACUCAUAGGCUUAGCGACUUCUAAUCCUGUUUGUGUUAUCGCUGCACCACGGCGUCAAAAAAGAAAAAAAAAAAAAAAAAAAAAAAGAAGACGCUCUUUAUGCGACUAUAAGAUUAAUAGAUAAAGCACAGAUUCUGUUCCUGCUCUCUGACCAACUGUCAGUGAAGGACGUAUAUGUCAAGUUUUCAUCAUCAUGUGCCAUGAAGAGGUGAAAAGGCGGAAUCUGUAUAAUAAAAGCUUAUGGCAGAUUCGAUCAAGAAAGAAAUAUAACCUUACGAUCGCCGACAUACCUUAGUGCAUGGUGCAAAGAGACCGCUGUUCACUAAAACUGUUCUCUCUGAAUGAAUUGAGGCAGGCAUCACUGUCAUAAUUAAACCACAGUAUCACAUAAUCUGGAAAGGUGUGGUGUGAAAUAUGGUACCAUGGCGACUACCAGAAAAUACCUUGAUGUUUUACUGAACUUUUCUUGCUUACUUACAGAAAAGGAUCACCCAUUCUUUGUUUUUGCAAACCUUUUUUUUUCACCCAAGUAGCCGUUGGUGUUUACGUGUGGUGCACUGGCUCGAGAAAGCUACUUUCGCCUAAAAAUCAACAUGGGAAAUGUUGCUGGUCAGUCUUAUGUCAUUAAACAAAGAAGAAAAAAACAAAGGAAAAAAGAAAUAGAAGAAAAGAUAGAAAAAACAAAAAACAAAAAAAUAUUGGGCCCAAUGGAACACAAUUUAAAAGUAGUGUUAAACUAGAAUUCUUUAUUUAUAUUAUACUCUAUAGUAACUACACCAGUUUCUAAUGCUAUACUGGAUAUAUUGGAUAAGCUACCCAACAUGCGCAAAAGAUAGAAUUGUAUGUAUUUAUAAUGAUAUGAAUAAUUCUUAUGAAUAAAUAUCUAAGAUAGAUAUUUGGUGUUAUACACUAAUAUGGAUUGCUGAUUUUACCUCAAAAAUUUGUAUGGUGAUAAAGCUGGUUUAUUGCAGCAAUGUUAUUGAUGAAAGUGUUUAUAUGGUGAAAUGGAUAAGAUGAAAAUGGUUUGCAUAAAAAAUCAGUUUCACUACUAACUCUACAGUGGUUUUACCUCUGUAAGGUUUACUAUAUGGAGACACUUAAAUACAAUGAAACUAUCAUUGUCUGGAAAUCGUAAAUCACGCCGAGACUGGGUUUACUCUUCUUGUCACUAUUCCAGUAUCUUUAUGCAAGUCCUCAGUAUUUUUGCACAUAUUUAAUUUCUCAUCAAAUAUGCAGUGUUAUCUGCAUCUGCUACUUAUCUCUUUAUGGUCUCUGGGUUAGACUUCCUAUUCUUGCGACUUCGAUCUACGUUUCUUUAAACUCUUAAUCUCUUGUAGCUAUGAUGCUCAACACUACAGAAUGAUACAAGAAGAGAGCAGAAUGAGUUCUGCCUGUGACGAUACUACUGCUCUUCGUAAUGAGCGAAAUGACGUGUAGAAUAGACAGAAAUGUUAUGCAUCACAUCCUCAUCUCCUCAGUAUUAUUUACUUGAUACUAUACUUUCUGUUGCAGUUAUCGCAGUUCUACUUGUAUAUUAUCAUAAUUUAGUGGCGCAUCCAGACCUUCCUCCCGGUCCUUGCUUCCUCCAUCACCUGGAGUAGAAUGUGACACACCAAUGUUAUUUUAUUCGUUUAAAUGCAAUUGUUUUAUAAUAUAACAUCCUAGACGGAACUGAGAUGUGUGACAGAUAUAAUAAAUCUUUUCCGGAUGAAAUAUGUCUCACUGACUGGCUUUUGCGGGAUAAAGGAAAACUUUCUAUUUAGUCUCUUCUGUUCCGUCACUUUGGUUAUGAAAUGGAGUCUGACUGAUAUCGACUUUUCGGUCCGCUUCCUCCAACCCUUGCUGUGGGAGUGAUAUUGUAAAGGAUGACUUUAAUGCUGAUUGGAAAUAGGGGAGGGGGGGGGGGGGGAGCGAAAG
This is a long non-coding RNA of Penaeus chinensis, 5224 nucleotides long. RefSeq lists it as uncharacterized. NCBI's taxonomy places the organism in Eukaryota, Metazoa, Arthropoda, Malacostraca, Decapoda, Penaeidae. The transcript is spliced from 3 exons. The record is from RefSeq and is a predicted model, not a curated record.